Molecule: RNA transcript, 2702 nt
Organism: Amblyraja radiata (thorny skate)
Lineage: Eukaryota; Metazoa; Chordata; Chondrichthyes; Rajiformes; Rajidae
Gene: smim15
Gene name: small integral membrane protein 15
Exons: 4
Source: RefSeq, a predicted model, not a curated record
UGCAUCGCGCGCACUUCCGCUUCCGGUGCAGAAGGCGCCUUGUACCGUUUCCGCAUGCGCAAAGGCCGGGCCACUACUUCCGGUCCGUGCGGUUCAGGCUGAAAUGAACAAAAGGAAGUCUUGCUUACAUUGUGUUUCCUUUUACUGUGCAUUUCCAGUAUAAUCUGGUUAUCGGCCUUUUUCAUUGAAGUCACUUUAGGGUCUUAGUGUCAACAAGAAUGUUGGACUUAAGAGGUUGGGCAGAGUACAUUGUGGAAUGGGCUGCAAAAGACCCUUAUGGUUUCCUUUCGACUGUUAUCUUGGCACUCACUCCAUUGUUCAUAGCUAGUGCAGUACUGUCAUGGAAACUGGCAAAAAUGAUUGAAGCAAGAGAUCGAGAACAGAAGAAGAAGCAAAAGCGUCAAGAGAAUAUUAACAAAGCCAAGAGACCAAAGAAGGAUUGAACCCGUAACCAAGAAACAUUCCCUUUCUUGAACUAAAAUACAGCUUGUUUUGCAUAUUUAACAAUUACAAUUAUAUUUGGUAAUAACUUCAAGAGUGAUACCAUAUUUCAAAUGGUUGCUUCUUUAGAUCUGUGCUUCUGCCUAAUAAUUUGUUGUAAUUUUUAUAAUGUUUAUUAAUUAUUGGGAUAAUCACUAGUGCGCUACACCUAAUUUUUCUACUUUGUUUACUAUUUGAAUUGAGUAUAUACAUUUCUAAUUCCUCAAGUACCUGUUCCAUAAUCUUGUGACUGAAAACAUACUGAGAAAUCGCACUGAAAUCAUUACAUUGAUGCAAUAUCUGCUUACUAUUUCUAAAUUAUAAAAACUUGUAAUUUAUAACUGGUUCUAUUUUUGUUUAAAGGCCUGAUGUUACUGACUGAAUUCAAUUAAUGAUUGCAAAGUGAUGAGAGAAGGGAAACACCCGAGAUGAUUUUCUUUGGUGACAUGGUGCACAUUAAAGUCUUCGAAUGACAAGGUUUCAUUGGCAUAGUCUUUAGCAAAUCUCGACUUCUUUGUUACAUUGAAUAGUCUAGACUGGAUGUUUGCAUGGAUUCACCCUUUUGAAUCAUAUUCUGAUAUUAGCCUCAAAGACACUGAUCGCAGGGGGCUUCAGGGAUCGUGUACGUGUGUCAUUGUGAUAUUGUUCUCUUGUUCAAAGUCUGCUUUAAUGGCAAUGAGCUCAUCUGGAAAUGAUGCAUCAUUGUCACUUAUGCUACCUGGUUUCACCUUGUGGAAUGCGAUUGUGUGCAAGCCCUGCCACAUUAAGAGAGUCAGUGAUCCUAGCUCAGUCCAGUAUUGUCUUUGUGCUCAUAAUGGCCUUCAGGAGGUUUUUGCUGGAAUAUUUGCAUGCUAAUGGUUCACCAGUCCUAAACACUGGGAAUGUUUUUAUCUGUAUAUACAUGUCCACAUAUUUUGUUAUGAAGUCAGUGACCAACCGUGCACUUCUGUUGAAUCCUUGAAUUUGGCCCAAUCCAUCCACUGAUUUAAAGCAAAAAUUCUCCUCUGCCUGCCCUGACCAGCUCUUUGUAGCCCUCUUUGCCGUUACCAUAUUCCUCAAUCUGCCUGUAGGCACAAAAACAACCACAGCCAGGUGGUCAGACUUUCUAAAGUACGGGAGACCUGAUGGUAGUAUAGCAGUGUUCGAGUGUACGGUGUUGAAGAUAGCGUAUUAAAGGUAGUUUUGCAGACAAGUGAGCCUAGUUGAUGUCCCCAGCAAUGAUUUGGAAGGUAUUGGGAUAUGCUAUUUUGUGCUUAUGUCAUUCCCCGAGUGCCAACUUGACGUCUGCCUGAGGCAGGCUGCAGUCAGGAAGGCGGCUGAGAACAGUGGGCAUUUAACUGCCAGACCCCUUGGCACUUUCAAGAUGGGAGCAGACGGAGGAAAACAACAAUGUCAGUGAGUGGGCUUGGGUCUCACUUCCUGCGCCCUCGUAGAUGCUUAGAGGUUGAAUUUGGGGGGCAUGGAGGCUGAGCGGUGGCUGACCAAGGGAAGGGAUGGCGCAUUCACAGGUUGAUGUGCGAUUUGUCUGGAUUGAGGCGUCCUUGGAGUGGGUCGUUGGAGGCCCUGCAGCAGCCCGGGGCUCUGUUAGAUCUGGUGCUGCUUUUCAAGUGGCCAAGCUUGCAGAACAGACAUGGCCAGCUGCGGCACAGAAUGUUGCGGCAUCAUUGGGGGACAUCACCACAUCACCUAGCCAGGACAACCCCUGCAACUCCAAACCAGUUCCGCCACCAGGACAAUGGACUUAUGGCCAAGUUAAGACUUAGCAUUUUUAACAAAUCUGAACUUGAAAUGUACAAGAUGGUUCCAGAAACGUGGCGAUUCUUAAGUACUUUCUCAGUGUAAUCUACUACCUUACACUAUUUGUAGUUAGGUAUGAUUGUGCAUAAUAUACAGUAAAACUUAAUGAACUAUGCAAAAUAAAAAUGCCUCUGUACCUCGAUGCAUGACAAAGUACCAUUGAGAUGUUCUAGGAUGGGGGAGUGGGAACGUGACAAGACCACCAUAUUCGAAGACCAUGAUGAGUUUAUCCUGAAACAGAUGACGCUGCAUCUUUUCCUGCAGUCGAGUCCAUUCUGUACGGUGGAUGGUAAAACAUUGGCUGGAGCGCCAUGUUGGAGAGAAACAAUGUGUCAUGUCUCUGUAAGUACACAACUUCAUGUUUAGUUUAGUUUAUUUGGAAGAUUGAGGGGGGAUCUUAUAGAAACUGACAAAAUUCUUAAGGG